RNAcentral lists this ribosomal RNA (118 nucleotides) under Diaphorina citri (Asian citrus psyllid). The record is from RNAcentral. Lineage: Eukaryota; Metazoa; Arthropoda; Insecta; Hemiptera; Psyllidae.
GCCAGCGGCGAUAGCACGUUGAAGGCACCAGUUUCCAAUGGAUCACUGAAGUUAAGUAACGUUGCGCUUGGUUAGUAUCCGGAUUGGUGACCAUUUGAGCAAUCGCAUGCUGCUGGGU